GACGAACGCUGGCGGCGUGCUUAACACAUGCAAGUCGAACGGAAAGGCCCUGCUUUUGUGGGGUGCUCGAGUGGCGAACGGGUGAGUAACACGUGAGUAACCUGCCCUUGACUUUGGGAUAACUUCAGGAAAAUGGGGCUAAUACCGGAUAGGAGCUCCUGCUGCAUGGGGGGGGUUGGAAAGUUUCGGCGGUUGGGGAUGGACUCGCGGCUUAUCAGCUUGUUGGUGGGGUAGUGGCUUACCAAGGCUUUGACGGGUAGCCGGCCUGAGAGGGUGACCGGCCACAUUGGGACUGAGAGACGGACCAGACUCCUACGGGAGGCAGCAGUGGGGAAUAUUGCACAAUGGGCGGAAGCCUGAUACAGCAACGCCGCGUGCGGGAUGACGGCCUUCGAGUUGUAAACCGCUUUCGCCUGUGACGAAGCGUGAGUGACGGUAAUGGGUAAAGAAGCACCGGCUAACUACGUG
Molecule: ribosomal RNA, 468 nt
Filed under: uncultured bacterium
Lineage: Bacteria
Description: partial 16S ribosomal RNA
Rfam family: Bacterial small subunit ribosomal RNA
Source: RNAcentral